Molecule: ribosomal RNA, 428 nt
Filed under: uncultured organism
Description: bacterial SSU rRNA
Rfam family: Bacterial small subunit ribosomal RNA
Source: RNAcentral
UGGGGAAUAUUGGACAAUGGGCGCAAGCCUGAUCCAGCAAUGCCGCGUGGGUGAAGAAGGCCUUCGGGUUGUAAAGCCCUUUUGUACGGGAAGAAAUCAUCCGGGUUAAUACCCUGGGUGGAUGACGGUACCGUAAGAAUAAGCACCGGCUAACUUCGUGCCAGCAGCCGCGGUAAUACGAAGGGUGCAAGCGUUAAUCGGAAUUACUGGGCGUAAAGCGUGCGUAGGUGGUUGUUCAAGUCUGUCGUGAAAGCCCUGGGCUCAACCUGGGAAUGGCGAUGGAAACUGGGCGACUGGAGUGCGGUAGAGGAUGGCGGAAUUCCCGGUGUAGCGGUGAAAUGCGUAGAGAUCGGGAGGAACAUCCGUGGCGAAGGCGGCCAUCUGGACCAGCACUGACACUGAGGCACGAAAGCGUGGGGAGCAAACAG